Molecule: ribosomal RNA, 440 nt
Filed under: uncultured bacterium
Lineage: Bacteria
Description: partial 16S ribosomal RNA
Rfam family: Bacterial small subunit ribosomal RNA
Source: RNAcentral
CCUACGGGUGGCAGCAGUGGGGAAUAUUGGACAAUGGGGGAAACCCUGAUCCAGCGACGCCGCGUGAGUGAAGAAGUAUUUCGGUACGUAAAGCUCUAUCAGCAGGAAAGAAAAUGACGGUACCUGACUAAGAAGCCCCGGCUAACUACGUGCCAGCAGCCGCGGUAAUACGUAGGGGGCAAGCGUUAUCCGGAUUUACUGGGUGUAAAGGGAGCGUAGACGGCAUAGCAAGUCUGAAGUGAAAGCCCAAGGCUCAACCAUGGGACUGCUUUGGAAACUGUUAAGCUAGAGUGCUGGAGAGGUAAGCGGAAUUCCUAGUGUAGCGGUGAAAUGCGUAGAUAUUAGGAAGAACACCAGUGGCGAAGGCGGCUUACUGGACAGUAACUGACGUUGAGGCUCGAAAGCGUGGGGAGCAAACAGGAUUAGAUACCCUUGUAGUC